RNAcentral lists this ribosomal RNA (292 nucleotides) under uncultured Chloroflexota bacterium. Its description in RNAcentral is "uncultured Chloroflexi bacterium partial 16S ribosomal RNA". It matches the Rfam family "Bacterial small subunit ribosomal RNA", at positions 1091 to 1397 of the family's 1533-position model. Lineage: Bacteria; Bacillati; Chloroflexota. The record is from RNAcentral.
CACGAGCGCACCCUCAUUGCUAGUUGCACAUGUCUAGCAAGACUGCCGCGAUCAACGUGGAGGAAGGUGGGGAUGACGUCAAGUCAGCACGGCCCUUACAUCCUGGGCGACACACACGCUACAAUGGCGAGGACAACGAGUUGCCAACCCGCGAGGGGGAGCUAAUCUUGUCAAACCUCGUCUCAGUUCAGAUUGGAGGCUGCAACCCGCCUCCAUGAAGCCGGAGUUGCUAGUAACCGUGAGUCAGCACAUCACGGUGAAUACGUUCCCGGGUCUUGCACACACCGCCCGU